AGCUUUGCGCAGGGGUAAUAUCAUAGCCAAUGAUGGUUUACUAAGGUGUGAUUACUGUUAUUUGAAAACAUUACCCAAUACCCCGUUAAGUCUGUUUUUUGACAGACUUGGCAAUUUUUUAACAUCUCUCAGUAGA
Molecule: small nuclear RNA, 136 nt
Organism: Protopterus annectens (West African lungfish)
Lineage: Eukaryota; Metazoa; Chordata; Ceratodontiformes; Protopteridae
Product: U4 spliceosomal RNA
Exons: 1
Source: RefSeq, a predicted model, not a curated record